This 253-nucleotide ribosomal RNA is filed under the name uncultured bacterium. RNAcentral's name for it is "partial 16S ribosomal RNA". It matches the Rfam family "Bacterial small subunit ribosomal RNA", at positions 524 to 776 of the family's 1533-position model. The record is from RNAcentral.
GACAGAGGGUGCAACCGUUGUUCGGAAUUACUGGGCGUAAAGCGUGUGUAGGCGGUCCACUAAGUCGGGUGUGAAAGCCCUGGGCUCAACCCAGGAAGUGCACUCGAAACUGGCGGGCUAGAGUAUCGGAGAGGUUGGUGGAAUUCUCGGUGUAGAGGUGAAAUUCGUAGAUAUCGAGAGGAACACCGGUGGCGAAGGCGGCCAACUGGACGAAUACUGACGCUGAGGCGCGAAAGCGUGGGGAGCAAACGGG